This 504-nucleotide ribosomal RNA is filed under the name uncultured bacterium. RNAcentral describes it as "partial 16S ribosomal RNA". It matches the Rfam family "Bacterial small subunit ribosomal RNA", at positions 30 to 523 of the family's 1533-position model. The record is from RNAcentral.
AUUGAACGCUAGCGGCAUGCCUAACACAUGCAAGUCGUACGGCAGCACGAGGAGCUUGCUCCUUGGUGGCGAGUGGCGGACGGGUGAGUAACGCGUAGGAAUCUGCCUUGUAGCGGGGGACAACCCGGGGAAACUCGGGCUAAUACCGCAUAAUGUCUUCGGACCAAAGUUGGGGACCUUCGGGCCUAACACUACAAGAUGAGCCUGCGUUGGAUUAGCGAGUUGGUGGGGUAAAGGCCUACCAAGGCAACGAUCCAUAGCUGGUCUGAGAGGACGACCAGCCACACUGGGACUGAGACACGGCCCAGACUCCUACGGGAGGCAGCAGUGGGGAAUAUUGGACAAUGGGCGAAAGCCUGAUCCAGCAAUGCCGCGUGUGUGAAGAAGGCCUUCGGGUUGUAAAGCACUUUCGUUGGGGAAGAAAAAGCCAAAGUUAAUAUCUUUGGAAAUUGACGUUACCCAAAGAAGAAGCACUGGCUAACUCUGUGCCAGCAGCCGCCGUAA